Molecule: ribosomal RNA, 361 nt
Filed under: Acaulospora dilatata
Lineage: Eukaryota; Fungi; Glomeromycota; Glomeromycetes; Diversisporales; Acaulosporaceae
Description: partial 18S ribosomal RNA
Source: RNAcentral
GUAGACGAGUUUUUAGACUUCAUGCUCAAUUUUAUGGGGAUAAGGGUCUAACCGAAGGACCUGAUAGGACGACCGCAUCCAGGAAGGCAGCAGGCGCGCAAAAUCAAUCGCAACACGGGGAGGUAGUGACAAUAUGUAACAAUAUACGGCCUUAUCCUCGUACAUUGGAAUGAGUUCAAUUUAAAUCCCUCAAAGGGAAAAUUGGGGGGAGUCUGGUGCCCCCCCCCCCUUAUUCCCGCCCCAACGCGAAAUAAAAUUUUUCUUAAAAACCCUUUUUGACCUGGGGCCGGGCGGGCCGCCCCCCACGCAAGACGUCUUCGGGCCUUUCCCCAGAUAAAUUUGUUCCGCGCAAGAACCGAAC